CCUACGGGUGGCAGCAGUGAGGAAUAUUGGUCAAUGGACGAAAGUCUGAACCAGCCAUGCCGCGUGCAGGAAGACGGCUCUAUGAGUUGUAAACUGCUUUUGUACGAGGGUAAACGAAGAUAUGCGUAUCUGUCUGAAAGUAUCGUACGAAUAAGGAUCGGCUAACUCCGUGCCAGCAGCCGAGGUAAUACGGAGGAUUCAAGCGUUAUCCGGAUUUAUUGGGUUUAAAGGGAGCGUAGGCGGUCGGUUAAGUUAGAGGUGAAAGCCCGAGGCUCAACCUCGGAAUUGCCUCUGAUACUGUCCGGCUAGAGAGUAGUUGCGGUAGGCGGAAUGUAUGGUGUAGCGGUGAAAUGCUUAGAGAUCAUACAGAACACCGAUUGCGAAGGCAGCUUACCGAGCUACUUCUGACGUUGAGGCUCGAAAGCGUGGGGAGCAAACAGGAUUAGAUACCCGAGUAGUC
Molecule: ribosomal RNA, 460 nt
Filed under: uncultured bacterium
Lineage: Bacteria
Description: partial 16S ribosomal RNA
Rfam family: Bacterial small subunit ribosomal RNA
Source: RNAcentral